RNAcentral lists this long non-coding RNA (1452 nucleotides) under Oryctolagus cuniculus (rabbit). Its description in RNAcentral is "lncRNA (ENSOCUG00000030161.1)". The record is from RNAcentral. Lineage: Eukaryota; Metazoa; Chordata; Mammalia; Lagomorpha; Leporidae.
CAUAAAGGCCAGAUGUUAAGGAAAGAGAGAGCAGCGCCCACCGCACGCCCACCACCCCACCCCCACCCCCAGGGGAAGAAAAAGCAAAGGAGACAGCUUUUCCGGCAAACACAACUUUUGAAGUACAAACAGUUUUUCUCAAGAAUCUGCUCUACGCAAACAAUAACAACUUUUUACACAGCAUUUUCACAGAAAAGGAGACAAGUCCUUCCCCAGGGUCGCGUGAGGGGACCGUUCCUCCCUCACCCCAUCUUGGGGGGAAAGGGGGCGCCAUUCACAAGUGCGGAGGGAGCCCCAGCUUCCCUUCACACCUGGGAACUCCCCCCGGAGCUCUGACCGCACCUGGCUGGGGAGGAGGCCACCCCGUCUGAUUCGAGGGGACCCUCCCGGCUGGAGGGUGAGAGCCAGGCCCGUCCCUGCCCUCUGCCUGGAAAACAGAACCUCUGACCCCAACCCUAAUCCCCUGGCCCUGCCCCCUUCGGAUCCAUCAGGUCCCUGACAGCUCCCUAACCGCGGCCACUGAGGGGGCAGCUGAAAGGACCUCAGCCCAGGUCCCACUCGAACCCCAACUCUGCCCCCUGGAAAUCCAGGGGCCCUGGCGCUCAGGCCAGAGCAGCAUUUUCCGUCCGCACCCUGUAAGAGGCCUGAAACUGGGCUCGGCCGAAGAAUGGACCGGGGCCUGUCCUCUACCUCUGCCCCUCCCAGCCGAAAAUCGGUGAAGACCUCGAAAGGCAACUCGUUUGGUCUGAUUUUAUUGAUUUCUUCCACCUUCCAUUACUUUCCCUGGGACGUCUCUAGCCCUUUCCCUAGGCGAGGGCUGUGUUUUGGGUCCGGGACCGGUUCCUCAGCCCUGCCCCUCUCCGUAGGGAGAGGGAACAGGGGCUGGGGGAUGAUUUCUCUAGGUGGAGGGAGGGUCUCUCCCACCCAUCAGAUCUUGUGAACCAAAAGCAAACAGAAAACUCAAAGGUAAACUCCAAAACCCGACAGAAGGCAAAAGCCGGCAUCUGGGGCUGAAGGUCUCACCAAUUCGGGGUCACCUGAACUUGGGGGUGCUAGGAAUGGGACAGGAAGUGGGGAAUCUUGCCUUUGCCCAAACUGCCCCUCCCCCCUCAAGGCUCCAGUGGUACUAGGAAGGCCCGAGGGGGAGAGAAGGGUUAAAGGCCCGGGCCAUGGGGGUGGGGGAUGCCCCCAGGGAGCUGCCAAUCACCUUCCCACCCCCACCACAGCCCCCACACCCCCAGGCUCGCCCACAGACACAGAAACAACCGGUUUGUCCAUCACCGAGGUCCCUCUCUUUUUUUGGUCUUUGAGCGGUGGUCUCCUUUGCUACCCCUGGGGUGAAGGCCCUGCCCCCAGAGACUCUCUCUCUCUCUCUCUCUGCCUGGAAUCUGCGUCGCCGUGUAACUCUGACUUUCAAAUAAAAUAAAUAAUUCUUUAAAAAAAGAAGCUACA